GGGAGGUAGAACACGUCAAAGUGCAAAUUUGAAGAAGCACCAUUUGGUGCCCCGGCU
RNAcentral lists this transfer RNA (57 nucleotides) under Lygodactylus chobiensis (Okavango dwarf gecko). RNAcentral's name for it is "tRNA-Cys". The record is from RNAcentral. Lineage: Eukaryota; Metazoa; Chordata; Lepidosauria; Squamata; Gekkonidae.